RNAcentral lists this small RNA (3758 nucleotides) under Pongo abelii (Sumatran orangutan). RNAcentral describes it as "retained intron". The record is from RNAcentral. Lineage: Eukaryota; Metazoa; Chordata; Mammalia; Primates; Hominidae.
GGACAUACUCCUGCCAGUCCCCAGUCUGGGUCGGGUGCCUCUGACCAGGGUGCGCAGAGCUGUUGCAGAUGGCUGUGCCCUGCCCCCGUGCACCCAGUUCCGGGGGCGCCACACUGCACCCACCUGGGGCUCUCUCCUCACAGUGGUGCAGGGGCCCUUGCCCGUCUCACGGCACCUGCCGCCUUGUGCCCUCAGCUCCUCACUUCAUCCUGGGGUCUCUGCUCAGCACAGAGCCCGGUGCCCGCGGGGAUUGAAUGAGCCAUUGCUUGUUGCUUCAUAGGCGUGCAUUUGUGUGUGGUAGCCAGGAGGUGGCGAUGGGCUGUGUUCCUCACACACAGGACUCUGGCUGCCAGCUGCCCUCCUGCAGAGCCAUGGGUUUGGCCCUGUACCUGGAAGGGAUUGGAAUCUCCUGGCCACACCUUUUGCAGCAUGAUUCUGUGACGAGUUUAGUUUUCACUUCGCUAGAGCUUGGCAGGGUGCGUGGUGCCCUCAGUUGGCAGUGGAUCACAAGAUUGGCUGUUUUAUUAAUUCUGGUUGAUACAAACAUAUGGGCAGUUGCAGACUGUCCAGAGACUUGUGUAAGUCUUCUGGGUCAUAAAACAUAGGCAAGCAGAGUCACCUUGUACCUUCCAAACAUGCUGCAUGACACGCCUCUCCUGAGGUUUGGCAUGGACACUGGGGCCACCGCGUGGGCUCCAUGCCAUGCCCGUGGCUGUUGGGGUUUUCGCUUGUGCAAGUCUGAGACCCCUGUUCCUGCCAGGGUGCACUGCCCUCCCACGUCUCCUCCCCUCCUCCUCCCCAAGUCAGCCUGCCCCAUGCCUCUUUUUUGGAUGUACCACAGGCUGAGGGGAGAGAGGCCACAGGUUGUCAGCUCUGAGAGAUAUGCUCUGAGGGGGACUUGAGCCAGCCCCAGCUGGCCUUCACUUCUCACUGCUCCAGCGGCUCUGCCCGAGAUCCCUUGCGGAAGUAGGAGUUAGUACCUGCAAAGAUGAUGACUGUAGUCAGUUUCAACAAGCAUACAGCUUAUCCAAAGACGCCUUGUCGCUAGUAGAGUGGCUUUGGUCUUUCAGGGUCACACGUCUCUGACAUCUCUCUGUUGGGGUCCCUGCAGCAGUGAACAUUUGCUGUAAAAGGAAUUCUUUGUCCAGUUACCUCGGGAAAUAAGAUAGUAUUGUUUUGAAAUACCCCUGUCGCAUCUUCUUUUUUUUUCCCAUUUAAAGUAUGGAUCAUGACUUAGGGGGUACUUAGCGAUGGACUUUGUGAAAUUGUUUUCCAAGGUGGUCCAGCAUUACCAGCUCUGCCUGCGUGGGCAGCAUGAGCACGGCCAAGUCCUCCAGCCUUGGCUGCCCCAGUGCUGUGGAAGCCCUCGCAGCUCGUGACGGGCGUGCUCUUUCCUUUCAGAGAUGUUCGACAAGCAGCAGGCAAACACCAUCUUCUGGAGCCCCCAAGGACAGUUCGUGGUGUUGGCGGGCCUGAGGAGGUAGGUGUCUGCGCUCUGAGCCUGUCCACCUUGUGAGUAGCACUCUGCCGCGGCAGAGACCCCUCAGGCGCCUGCACCCAGCUUCUUGGUAGAGGGAGUCUUGUGCACUGAAAGGGUUACCGUGGUGUCAGUGGAUGGGACUUUAUUCAACCUUUGCGGACCCACGGCACUCCAAGACUCAGGCCAACCAGCACAGAGUGAAAUAAGCGCUCCCAGAUGCUUUCGUGAAGUGAUCAGGCAGACCCGUCUGUGGGUUGUGGUUCUUCGUGGUUAAACAAGUGUCUUCCAGCAAUUCAGUAAACUCCCCCCCGGGGGUCAGUCCCGUGUCUUCUGGUGGGAAGGGUAUUCGUUACACAGCUGUGAGCCUGCCUUACCUUUGUGGUUGGUGUCACGAUGUCGGUCUCAGCUAUGUUCCAGCAGUGUGUCGAAAUCGUGGAGAAGCUUCCAGCUUUCUGCUCUGAGUUAAAAAAAUACCCUUUUGUUGCUGCUCUCCCUUGCUUCAUUGUUCACACUUGCUACUGUAUUUUUGGAGGCUUACUUAGCCUCAGAUAACAUUUCCAGUAAAAAUAAUAUGAUGGCAGACGUGUGUAAUACUCACUGCCCACUCUGCAUCUGUGAUUUGGUAAGUCUCACAGCGGCCACCAGAGGCUGUUGCUGUGCUCGUUUCCAUGUUAACGCCGAGGCUGGCUCCCUGGGGACCCCAUGCCGCAGCACCUCUCAGGAGUGGGAUGCCAGGAGGUAUGCGUCUCCUGAAGCCUGAUGGUCCUGUCUGUCUUUGCAGUAUGAACGGUGCCUUAGCGUUUGUGGACACUUCGGACUGCACGGUCAUGAACAUCGCAGAGCACUACAUGGCUUCCGACGUCGAAUGGGAUCCUACUGGGCGCUACGUCGUCACCUCUGUGUCCUGGUGGAGCCAUAAGGUGGACAACGCGUACUGGCUGUGGACUUUCCAGGGGCGCCUCCUGCAGAAGAACAACAAAGACCGCUUCUGCCAGCUGCUGUGGCGGCCCCGGCCUCCCACACUCCUGAGCCAGGAGCAGAUCAAGCAAAUUAAAAAGGAUCUGAAGAAAUACUCUAAGAUCUUUGAACAGAAGGAUCGUUUGAGUCAGUCCAAAGCCUCAAAGGUGAGCCUCAUUCCCCAGAGUGAGGGCUGUGCUGCGACAUCCGCCAUCACGGCAAAGGUGGUGGGGCUGCGGGGCCAAGGCGGGGCAAAGGCAGGGCUGCUGUGUGUGUGCUCAGAGUUGCCUCUGCCCCGGAGACACUGGUUCUGUUUCCCCCCCUAGGAGGGAUGCAGUGGGGAACUGGGGUUGGCACGGGGACCUGGAGUUGGUGACCUCACUGCUGCCUGGUGGGCGGGGGGCAGCGUUGGGGGGAAAGUGAGAACAAAUGGACUGGCCAUUCCUGCUUGAGCGCCUCCGUAUGCUGUCCUUCUGGCACCGUCCGCCUGGGUGUGGGCUCUUCGCGAUGGGGAGGCACGUGUCUUACCAGUUCUGUGCUUUGCCCAACCUCGUGCAUAGGAAUUGGUGGAGAGAAGGCGCACCAUGAUGGAAGAUUUCCGGAAGUACCGGAAAAUGGCCCAGGAGCUCUAUAUGGAGCAGAAAAACGAGCGCCUGGAGUUGCGAGGAGGGGUGGACACUGACGAGCUGGACAGCAACGUGGACGACUGGGAAGAGGAGACCAUUGAGUUCUUCGUCACUGAAGAAAUCAUCCCCCUCGGGAAUCAGGAGUGACCUGGAGCGCUGUGGGGACGGACCCCACCUGCUGCUCCUGCGCUGAGCUGCAGGACGGAGCGUGAGCCGCAGUUCGUCUGUUGCAGUGCAGCCACGUAUGGCGUGGAGCCGAGGCCAUCCUGCAGGAAGCCACGUGACUCCCGCCUCCUCCCCGUGCUCUCUGGCUCUGGACUGUGACUGCGCCUGGAUUCUGCCAUUGCGACACAUUUUUGUGCCUUUCAGCCCCUGGUGUCUGCAGUGGGGGGUUUAAGGCACCCGCUUCCAUUUCUUUCUUGUUUGGAGUUUUCUGUCGGAACCGCCGGCGUUGGCUCCGUAGACUUAGCAACGCCACCGGCAGCACCUUCUCCUGCGCCCAGUGAUGUUUCCACGGUGCCUGUACACAGCCGAGCGGCAUUUCCGUUGAAGGACUUGCAUCCCCAUCGUGGGCAGUGCUGGAUGUGUCCUGGAGACCCACCGGGAGGGCACCGCCAUGCCUCGCACCGCCACCGUGCAGGUUGUGGCUGGUUUUCUCCGCAGGUUGAACGUGGAAAUAAAAGCAAACUUGUAUG